UAUUAACUCUGUUGUCUGAGGACAGAC
Molecule: non-coding RNA, 27 nt
Filed under: Rattus norvegicus (Norway rat)
Lineage: Eukaryota; Metazoa; Chordata; Mammalia; Rodentia; Muridae
Source: RNAcentral